GACGAACGCUGGCGGCGUGCUUAACACAUGCAAGUCGAACGGAAAGGCCCCUUUGGGGGUCCUCGAGUGGCGAACGGGUGAGUAACACGUGAGUAACCUGCCCUUGACUUCGGGAUAACUUCAGGAAACUGGGGCUAAUACCGGAUAGGAAUCCUUGCUGCAUGGUGGGGGUUGGAAAGCUUCGGCGGUUUUGGAUGGACUCGCGGCUUAUCAGCUUGUUGGUGGGGUAGUGGCUUACCAAGGCUUUGACGGGUAGCCGGCCUGAGAGGGCGACCGGCCACAUUGGGACUGAGAUACGGCCCAGACUCCUACGGGAGGCAGCAGUGGGGAAUAUUGCACAAAGGGCGGAAGCCUGAUGCAGCAACGCCGCGUGCGGGAUGACGGCCUUCGGGUUGUAAACCGCUUUCAGCAGGGGCGAAGCUUGUGGUGACGGUACCUGCAGAAGAAGCACCGGCUAACUACGUG
This 465-nucleotide ribosomal RNA is filed under the name uncultured bacterium. Its description in RNAcentral is "partial 16S ribosomal RNA". It matches the Rfam family "Bacterial small subunit ribosomal RNA", at positions 28 to 507 of the family's 1533-position model. The record is from RNAcentral.